RNAcentral lists this ribosomal RNA (468 nucleotides) under uncultured bacterium. RNAcentral describes it as "bacterial SSU rRNA". It matches the Rfam family "Bacterial small subunit ribosomal RNA", at positions 28 to 493 of the family's 1533-position model. The record is from RNAcentral.
GACGAACGCUGGCGGCGUGCCUAACACAUGCAAGUCGAACGGAACUGUUUUGAAAGAUUUCUUCGGAAUGAAUUUGAUUUAGUUUAGUGGCGGACGGGUGAGUAACGCGUGAGUAACCUGCCUUCAAGAGGGGGAUAACAUUCUGAAAAGAAUGCUAAUACCGCAUGACAUAUCGGAACCACAUGGUUUUGAUAUCAAAGAUUUUAUCGCUUGAAGAUGGACUCGCGUCCGAUUAGUUAGUUGGUGAGGUAACGGCUCACCAAGACCGCGAUCGGUAGCCGGACUGAGAGGUUGAACGGCCACAUUGGGACUGAGACACGGCCCAGACUCCUACGGGAGGCAGCAGUGGGGGAUAUUGCGCAAUGGGGGCAACCCUGACGCAGCAACGCCGCGUGAAGGAUGAAGGUUUUCGGAUUGUAAACUUCUUUUAUUAAGGACGAAACUUGACGGUACUUAAUGAAUAAGCUC